UUCAAACACUUGUUCCCGUGCGAUCCCUGAAGUUAAGCAACGUCCAUUCUGGUUAGUACUUAGAUGGGUGACCGCUUCGGAAUACC
This is a non-coding RNA of Acanthosepion pharaonis, 86 nucleotides long. The record is from the annotation of a GenBank genome assembly. Lineage: Eukaryota; Metazoa; Mollusca; Cephalopoda; Sepiida; Sepiidae.